This is a non-coding RNA of Malaclemys terrapin pileata, 1485 nucleotides long. The record is from the annotation of a RefSeq genome assembly. Lineage: Eukaryota; Metazoa; Chordata; Testudines; Emydidae.
AUAAAUGUUACAAGUUAAUGCUUUAUGUUCCUCAGCUCAGUCUCUUUCAGCUUAGAAGCAUCAAGAUGAUCUCACAAAUCCAACUUCUCUGCCUCUCUGUGCUCUGGAUUCAGGGAUCCAGAGGGGACAUCCUUGUGACUCAGACUCCAGAAUUCCUCUCAGUGUCACUAGGAGACACCGUCACUAUCAACUGCAAAGCCAGUUCCACUGCUAGCAGCUACAUGGCUUUGUACCAGCAGAAACUAGGACAAGCUCCUAAACUUCUCAUCUACAGCACUAACUCUCGUCCCUCUGGGAUCCCAGACCGGUUCAGCGGCAGUGGGUCUGGCACUGACUUCACUUUUAAAAUCAGCCGGGUAGAAGCAGAUGAUGCUGGAGAUUAUUACUGUCAGCAGCAUUAUACCACCCCUCUCACACAGUGAUACAGGCCAUCACAAAAACCUCCCUGCUCUCUUCAGCCUCCUCUCACUGUAGUGAGUGGCUACUUAAUGCUUAGCACUACAGUGGCACAGCUGCAGCAUUUCUAGUGAAGACACAGCCCGAGUUUCUGCAGUUUCUGUUCCUCUGAUGUUCCAGCUGCAUCCUGCACAUCACAGUAUCUGUGCACCUAACGCUGUCCACGUGGGUGGUUCGGUUGAGUUAACUAUGUCUCUCUGGGAUGUGGAUUGUUCACACCCCUGAGGGACGUAGCUAUGCUGAUGUAACUUUACAGCACAGACCAGUCCUGUGGAACUGCUGCCCCCUACAGGGCAGAUUCGGCUCUCUCACUUCUCGCUCACCCUCACUCCUCCAACCAAUUCUUUCCUGUCAUUCCUUGACCCCCUCACCAUUCAAUAGCCCUUGGGCUGGAAUUUGUGUUACUCCUGACAUUAUACUGUAAUGUGAUCACUCAGCCACUUUUGAAUGUGUCCUUGAGUUUGAGAACCUUACCAAGUGGCACAGUUAAUUUCUCUUUUCCCUCUGUUGUUCUCUAACUUUUCUACAGUUGGAGACAUUCUGAAAAAUGAGUGUGUGGCCAAAGGAAAAUAGAGUAACUCCUCACUUAACGUCGUCCUGGUUAACAUUGUUACGUUGCUGAUCAGUUUGAGAACUUGCUCGUUUAAAGUUGCACAAUUGCUUCCUUACACCAUUCUUUGGUGGCCGCUUGCUUUGUCCACAGCUUGCAGAAAGAGCAGCCCGUUAGAGCUAGCUGGUGGGCAUUUGGAACUAGGGUGACCGGCAGCCCCUUAUCAGCUCCACUAAGUUCCCUGUGUGGCAGCCAUCUAGCAGGCUAUCAAUUGCCGGGCAGUUCAGCUGCCCUGCCCCCACCGCCAUGUGCUGCUCCUGCCCUCUGCCUUGGAGCUGCUCGCAGGAGCCUCCUGCUUGCUGUGCGAGGGCGGGGGAAGGGGGGUGUUAACCCCUGAGGGCUCAGCCGCAUGCUAGUUCAUCAUUUCGCAGAAAGGCAUUCCCUGGGAAAUAUCCCACCCUCUGACUCCACCACCUCAA